Molecule: long non-coding RNA, 957 nt
Organism: Myxocyprinus asiaticus (Chinese sucker)
Lineage: Eukaryota; Metazoa; Chordata; Actinopteri; Cypriniformes; Catostomidae
Exons: 4
Source: RefSeq, a predicted model, not a curated record
GAAGAAGCGCUAGAAGAAGAUGUAAUCGCCGCUAAACAACAGGAGACAAUGUAUCAGCGGAGAUUGAGACGACGUAUUAAACAGAGGGGGCAUGCAGGCUGGAUGUUUGACUGUGGCACGAGUGAUGAACAUUGAGAAAGGUGAAUCCAGGCGGUGGUAUACAGCCAAGCCUGGCUGCAACAUAGGGUGUAACCACUGUUUUCCUCAAGUGUAAGGCUGGCACAAGGAUGUCUACACCCAAAAGGCGCCAUUUCUGGUUGAAGGCAAAGAACUCUGCAAGAAUCAACGUCAUAGAACUCUCUCACAAAAGCUGAAAUCUACACCUGAAUAUCACCACAUGUGAUAAAUUGCAAAUCACCUUUGCAUUGUUUUACAAAGCUGAAAUCUUCUCCUGAAUAUCACCACAGUAUGAUAAAUUGCAAGUCACCUUGCUGCCCCCUCUUCUCUCUCCCCCUUCUCCCCUUCAACAGCUCAGGACCAAUACAAAGACACAAGAUUUAUAUGUAAAAAUAUAACAAAUACCAUGAAAACAAAGAAUGCAACUGUAUGUGUUUGAUAUCAUUUAAGAGGUCUCUGUGCGACUGGUAUAGUGGUCUCUUUCCCAUGUUGAUAAAUCUAAUGGUGAAAAAGUUAUAAGGUCUUUGCCAAAUACUGCAUAAUUCUGGAGGUCUGUCCCCCUCAUUGACCUACAAUUUAAAUUAUCUCUUGUAUAUUAACAAGGUUAAACCCCAGGAAGUCAAGAUCCAUUCACCCCCAAAUUCUCAUUGUUCAAAGGAUAAUACCAUUUGGUACACAAUGUUUAUUCUGUCUGGGUAUUUAAGGAAAGUUGGCAAGAAGCUCGGGGAGUCUGUAUUCAGAUCUCCCAUACUGUUGCUGUAUGUAGUUCUAUUUGCCAAGUAUGUUUCUCUGACUUAUAUCUUAUUUUUAGGGAUGUUUGUUUAUUCUGAUCAUAUGUGA